Non-coding RNA from Acanthosepion pharaonis, 114 nucleotides. Lineage: Eukaryota; Metazoa; Mollusca; Cephalopoda; Sepiida; Sepiidae. The record is from the annotation of a GenBank genome assembly.
UUACGGGCAUAUCACGUUGAAACACCGGUUCCCGUACGAUCACCGAAGUUAAGCAAUGUUGAGCUUGGUUACUACCUAGAUGGGUGACCGCAUAGGAAUACCAGGUGAUGUAAG